UUCGCAAUGCCCGAAAGGGUGACGAUGCGACGCCGCGUGAGCGAAGGAGGCCCUAGGGUUGUAAAGCUCUGUCGAGGGUUAUGAAAUAUAGAUGGGUUAAUACCCCAUUUAUUUGACAAAAGCCCAAAAGGAAGCCACGGCUAACUCUGUGCCAGCAGCCGCGGUAAUACAGAGGUGGCGAGCGUUGUUCGGUAUUAUUGGGCGUAAAGAGCACGUAGGUGGUUUUGUAAGUCAGGUGUGAAAGCCUUCUGUUCAAAGGAAGAACGGCAUCUGAAACUGCAGAUCUUGAGUGUAGGAGGGGAGAGUGGAACUUCUGGUGGAGCGGUGAAAUGCGUAGAUAUCAGAAGGAACGUCGGCGGCGAAAGCGACUCUCUGGCCUAUUACUGACACUGAGGUGCGAAAGUUAGGGGAGCAAACGGGAUUAGAUACCCCGGUAGUCCUAACCGUAAACGAUGGGCACUAAGUAGAGGGGUUUU
This 476-nucleotide ribosomal RNA is filed under the name uncultured anaerobic ammonium-oxidizing bacterium. Its description in RNAcentral is "bacterial SSU rRNA". It matches the Rfam family "Bacterial small subunit ribosomal RNA", at positions 365 to 832 of the family's 1533-position model. The record is from RNAcentral.